Mauremys reevesii (Reeves's turtle) is the source of this 1950-nucleotide long non-coding RNA. RefSeq lists it as uncharacterized. The transcript has 6 exons. The record is from RefSeq and is a predicted model, not a curated record. Lineage: Eukaryota; Metazoa; Chordata; Testudines; Geoemydidae.
AAGGGGGCUAUGGGAAAAUUUUGCAGUCCCUUACUGGGAGAAGGGAGGUAUAUUUGGGCUUGCAAACACAGAGUGGGGAGGAAGGUAGGACAGGGAUAGGUGUAAGGUCUCAGAGAAAACAGGUCUUGACUGCUGGCUAGGGGGUCCCUGAGCCAGAAACUGGAGUAGAGAGCAGGCCUAGGGUCUCCUGCUAGUCACUGAGGGAGUUGAACUAUGUGGUAGUGAAUGGGAAUACUACCCAGGAUUGCUGAAGGAAGACUUUAGUCCCUGGAAGGGGACAAUCCAGAUAGUGACAUGACUGGAGGAUAGAGUCAUGAAGAGGCAAAAGCAGCUUGUGGAGCAAGAGAGGGGCUGCAAAUGUGGCAAGAGAGGUAAAGAGAUGGUGUGCAACUGCAGGAAGGUGUGUUGUCACUCUGGGGAAUAGCUCAUCAGGUCCAGGAGGAGGUGUUAUACUUGUAGUAAGUGAAGUGUCCCAUCACAAGGAUCUGCAUUCAGUUCCCGCCUCAGUAUUCUGUAAAGAAGGGAUUUGAAAUUGGGUUUCCCUACCUAAUAGUUGUACUGUGCAGUACUGAGAGAGCUCACGUGGGGUUAUACACUCUCCAAGCCAACAAGCUGUUGUGUGUACUGGCUCUUUGGAGACCGAACCUGCUGUUACCUCUGUCAAUGCCCAGUCAGAGGAUCAGGAUGCUGCAGGGUAUAUGGUUUUGGGGAAACUCAGGGCUGGGUUGUUGGGGAUCACCCUGCAAGGAGCAAUUGGACUGGUGGAAACCAAGUAACCUAGAAGCACUUUGACCCAUUCAUUCUAGGAUGCAUCUACAGCAUGAUUAUUGAACUUAUUUCACAACAUCUAGUGACAAAUGCAUUUGAUUGAGUUAGAAGCAACUGGAGACUUUGCUCAGCAGUAUCCUUUGCUGCAAUACAGAUGUUAGUUGUCUGCACUUCAAGCAGGAAGAAAGCUUGACACCAUGCUAAUCCUCAGGAUCUUGCACUAUCACUCAAGUCUUGCUGUGGAAUGAAAGCUGCUAUACAAUUUCUUUUGAUGAUCUUAGAGAGACAAGAAGCAAGAUUCCUGCAGUCUGUUUUCCCAAGGAGCAUCUGACCCUUUUUAGAGAAACUCCCAAAGCCAGAUCUCUGCAAUGAGGGGAGAUCCAUUUUCACCACCCUGUCCAAGGUUUGCCCCUGGAAUAAGUGGUAACAGCACUACUGAAUCUGAUCACAUUGCUGAAAUUGGAUAUACCAGGCACCAUGCUGAACAGGAUGAAAAAGAAAAUCGUUUUGGAAAUUGAUGGCACUCUCUUAACCAAGAUGGAAAUAAAGCUAGUCUGUUUUCUUUAGGGAUGAUUUAGGGGAGAUUUGUUUAUAAUAUACAUAAAACAAAACAUCAUAACAAACCAAGUUUGCCUCCAUAUGUUAUGAGACAAUGAAGGCAACUUUAAUUGUACUGAAAGGCUUGGAUUUUCCAUUGACUUUAAUGAAAAUUGGAUCAAGUCUUAAAUGGGCAAAAUUCUACUGAAUUCAAUGGACUUAGAUCUAUGUAAAGAGGCACAUUUUAGGCCCACAAAUUUAUUUACUUUUACUGUCUUGUAUAGAAAGACAAUGGGUUUGAUACUUCCAUUGUUUCUGUCUAGUUCAGUAUCCUGUCUGACUGCACUUGUAUCAGUACCCACUGCUUCAGAGGAAGGUGCAUGAAACCCCAGAGUGUACAAUUACAGAAUAAGUUGCCUAGAGGGGGAAGUUUAUUCCUAAACCUGGCAACUAGGGCCCAAUCCAAUUCCUAUAGGAAAAAAACUCAUUGGCUCCUUUAGGAGUUGGAGUGGGCCCUUAGUGGUUGAAUUAUGCCUUGAUAUCCACUUAAUAUAAAACAGCAGAUAUUCUCAUUAUCUAUACAAGUGUUUGAAUCCUUUUUGAUACCUCUUGAGCACAAUUAAAAAAAAUAAAUUGUUCACUGAG